CACACACACACACACACACACACACACACACACACACACACACAGAGUCUGAUCCUGGUUGACUUGACCCAACCCUCAGGUGCCUUCCUCUCACUGCGUCUCAAUAUGUAUAAAUGAAUGGGUUCAACUCGCAAAGUGGAUCAUGUCCCACUUGCCUUCAGUAUUAAACUAAGAACUCAUUAUUGACAUCCCACAAGGGGGAUUCGAUUGAUCCACUUCACACCUGGUUACAUAAUCUUUUCUGAUCUAAAGCUAUAGUGCAUAGUUUCUGCUGACCCCAUGAGGAAUUCUAAGUAAUGACAACAAUGCCACAUGACAUACCGAUUUGAUCACGCACGCACCCCCACACAGUUGCUAGCAGCCACAGAGGACCCGGAGGAUUAAAAAAAACAUGAUUACCCUUCAGAAGAAGGCAUUAUCUAGAAUGAAUGUAAUGGUCGUUCAUUAAUAUUAAGAAGUUACGCACUAAAGCUUUAAGAAGUUGAUGAAGACUGAACACACUGGUUUUAAAGUGGACUUUGAAGUAAGCGGAGCAUAUUAUGGGACACCGCUAUUAGUUUACACCUCUUGGUUGCUCCCUAGAAUUAUAAGAGAAGGAUGGGUCACUGUUGGAAAGUCACCAUCUUUCUGAAAAACUGAAGUAUAAAUUCAGCUUCGGCCAGACUUUAAAAUAUCAAUGUGUCCCAUCUCUUUCUGAGGAUUUUGAUGGAAGCAGAGAGCAGCCAUAAUCGCUGAAAAUAGUUAGCAGUUAUCUAGAAAAAUCUAUUUAAUCAUAUUAGAUAUAAAAUUAUUUAUUUCCUUGAGACAUAACUUCUAAUUUCCCUGGAUGUCAAACAUAAAUAAACAAUAAUUACAUUGAAGCCGGUUUAUUCUGGGACGCCAGUCUUAUUCUGGAGGACUAAGUGACAAAAGUGGCUCUGGAUCAAUUAUCAUCCCAAAAAUAAGAGCACAAUAAAUAUGUGAUCAUGAGAAAACUAUUUUUGAUUUUCUAACACAAUAGCAUGUUACAUUUCAGGAUAAAAUGAUCUUAAAUCAGCACCUUGUGUUAAAUCAGAAUAAGACCUGCAGCCAGCCAAUAGGAUGCCUUCUACUGAAUGUGUCACUAAGACCUCAGUUACAGCUGGAGAAUAAAAAGGGGUUUCCAUAAACUGUUUUUUCUUGGUUUCAAUUAAGGAAAUAUUUUAUUACUGGUGUUAAUACUGCUGUAUUCUGAACAGUGCAGGCAGUAUAAAGCCUGUCUGUAUUUUGUUGGUUGUGAUUAAAAUGUUUGAGAUUUGAG
This is a long non-coding RNA of Etheostoma spectabile (orangethroat darter), 1279 nucleotides long. RefSeq lists it as uncharacterized. Lineage: Eukaryota; Metazoa; Chordata; Actinopteri; Perciformes; Percidae. The transcript has 2 exons. The record is from RefSeq and is a predicted model, not a curated record.